UCGAGAAUCUUCCGCAAUGGACGAAAGUCUGACGGAGCGACGCCGCGUGGUGGAUGAAGUCCUUAGGGACGUAAACACCUUUUAUGAGUGAAGAAGUUUAUUGACAUUAGCUCAUGAAUAAGGGGCUCCCAACUCUGUGCCAGCAGGAGCGGUAAUACAGAGGCCCCAAGCGUUAUCCGGAUUCACUGGGCGUAAAGGGUGCGUAGGCGGUUAUAUUAGUCGGGUGUAAAAUCUUUGGGCUCAACCCAAAGCUCGCAUUCGAAACGGUAUAACUAGAAGAAGUCAGAGGUAAGCAGAACUCUCGGUGUAGGGGUGAAAUCCGUUGAUAUCGAGGGGAAUACCAAAUGCGAAGGCAGCUUACUGGGACUUUCUUGACGCUGAGGCACGAAAGCGUGGGUAGCGAACGGGAUUAGAUACCCCCGUAGUCC
RNAcentral lists this ribosomal RNA (428 nucleotides) under uncultured prokaryote. RNAcentral describes it as "bacterial SSU rRNA". It matches the Rfam family "Bacterial small subunit ribosomal RNA", at positions 355 to 796 of the family's 1533-position model. The record is from RNAcentral.